UGGGGAGGGUGGGGUUUAGACCCACUUGAGCAGGUUUACAGCCUGCCGCCUACAUUCGGCCACCUAACC
This 69-nucleotide transfer RNA is filed under the name Brookesia therezieni. RNAcentral's name for it is "tRNA-Tyr". Lineage: Eukaryota; Metazoa; Chordata; Lepidosauria; Squamata; Chamaeleonidae. The record is from RNAcentral.